UACGGAGGGUGCGAGCGUUGUUCGGAAUCACUGGGCGUAAAGGGCGUGUAGGCGGUCCGCUAAGUCUGAUGUGAAAGCCCGGGGCUCACCCCCGGAAGGGCAUUGGAAACUGGCGGACUCGAGUCCCGGAGAGGAAGGUGGAAUUCCUGGUGUAGCGGUGGAAUGCGCAGAUAUCAGGAGGAACACCAAUAGCGAAGGCAGCUCGCUGGGACGGUAUUGACGCUAAGGCGCGAAAGCGUGGGGAGCAAACGGG
This 253-nucleotide ribosomal RNA is filed under the name uncultured bacterium. RNAcentral's name for it is "partial 16S ribosomal RNA". It matches the Rfam family "Bacterial small subunit ribosomal RNA", at positions 524 to 776 of the family's 1533-position model. The record is from RNAcentral.